This 279-nucleotide unclassified non-coding RNA is filed under the name Hevea brasiliensis (rubber tree). The record is from RNAcentral. Lineage: Eukaryota; Viridiplantae; Streptophyta; Magnoliopsida; Malpighiales; Euphorbiaceae.
AGUGCUUCCAUUCCUUGUGACAAAGCAUCUUCAGCCUGUUGGGAUGAUUGUUGCAAAUUGUAGAUGCCCAUCAACUGUUGCUCUGUUAAAGGCUCCAAUUGAUUCACAAGAAGCUUCAGUGUCUCAGACGAGCGGAACCCACCUAUCCACAUGAAACACCGCUCUGCUGGUGUCUUCCACAUUCCUGACAAGAUGUGGAAAACAUCAGCUUUUGCUGCAACACCCUUCAGCCUGAAAAUGUCAUUGAAGUGUGCUAUGACAUUGUCAACUAUAGUUCGA